This 406-nucleotide ribosomal RNA is filed under the name uncultured bacterium. Its description in RNAcentral is "bacterial SSU rRNA". It matches the Rfam family "Bacterial small subunit ribosomal RNA", at positions 771 to 1174 of the family's 1533-position model. The record is from RNAcentral.
ACCUAAUAGAUACCCUGGUAGUCCACGCCCUAAACGAUGCGAACUGGAUGUUGGGUACAUUACGGUACUCAGUGUCGAAAGCUAAACGCGUUAAGUUCGCCGCCUGGGGAGUACGGUCGCAAGACUGAAACUCAAAGGAAUUGACGGGGCCGGCACAAGCGGUGGAGUAUGUGGUUUAAUUACGAUGCAACGCGAAGAACCUUACCUGGCCUUGACAUCUGUCGAAUCCUGCAGAGAUGCGGGAGUGCCGCAAGGAACGACAAGACAGGUGCUGCAUGGCUGUCGUCAGCUCGUGUCGUGAGAUGUUGGGUUAAGUCCCGCAACGAGCGCAACCCUUGUCCCUAGUUGCCAGCACAUCAUGGUGGGAACUCUAGGGAGACUGCCGGUGACAAACCCGGAGGAAGGU